CCUACGGGGGGCAGCAGUGAGGAAUAUUGGUCAAUGGCCGGAAGGCUGAACCAGCCAUGCCGCGUGAAGGUCAGUGCCCUAUGGGCGUUAAACUUCUUUUGUGCGGGAGCAAUAAUGGUCACGUGUGGCCAGACGAGAGUACCGUACGAAUAAGCAUCGGCUAACUCCGUGCCAGCAGCCGCGGUAAUACGGGGGAUGCAAGCGUUAUCCGGAUUUAUUGGGUUUAAGGGGUGCGUAGGCUGUGAGGUAAGUCAGCGGUGAAAUGCCCCCGCUCAACGGGGUGAAGUGCCAUUGAUACUGCCUGGCUGGAAUGCGGAUGCCGUGGGAGGAAUGUGUGGUGUAGCGGUGAAAUGCAUAGAUAUCACACAGAACACCGAUUGCGAAGGUAUCUCACGAAUCCGCGAUUGACGCUGAUGCACGAAAGCGUGGGUAUCAAACAGGAUUAGAUACCCCAGUAGUC
RNAcentral lists this ribosomal RNA (460 nucleotides) under uncultured bacterium. RNAcentral's name for it is "partial 16S ribosomal RNA". It matches the Rfam family "Bacterial small subunit ribosomal RNA", at positions 338 to 795 of the family's 1533-position model. The record is from RNAcentral.